CACGCCCUAAACUAUGUCAACUAGGUGUUGGGUGGGUAAAACCAUUUAGUACCGUAGCUAACGCGUGAAGUUGACCGCCUGGGGAGUACGGCCGCAAGGUUAAAACUCAAAGGAAUUGACGGGGACCCGCACAAGCGGUGGAUGAUGUGGAUUAAUUCGAUGCAACGCGAAAAACCUUACCUACCCUUGACAUGCCAGGAACUUGCCAGAGAUGGCUUGGUGCCCGAAAGGGAGCCUGGACACAGGUGC
RNAcentral lists this ribosomal RNA (249 nucleotides) under uncultured Azonexus sp. Its description in RNAcentral is "partial 16S ribosomal RNA". It matches the Rfam family "Bacterial small subunit ribosomal RNA", at positions 796 to 1041 of the family's 1533-position model. Lineage: Bacteria; Pseudomonadati; Pseudomonadota; Betaproteobacteria; Rhodocyclales; Azonexaceae. The record is from RNAcentral.